This 612-nucleotide ribosomal RNA is filed under the name uncultured Escherichia sp. RNAcentral's name for it is "bacterial SSU rRNA". It matches the Rfam family "Bacterial small subunit ribosomal RNA", at positions 52 to 653 of the family's 1533-position model. The record is from RNAcentral. Lineage: Bacteria; Pseudomonadati; Pseudomonadota; Gammaproteobacteria; Enterobacterales; Enterobacteriaceae.
CACAUGCAAGUCGAACGGUAACAGGAAGAAGCUUGCUUCUUUGCUGACGAGUGGCGGACGGGUGAGUAAUGUCUGGGAAACUGCCUGAUGGAGGGGGAUAACUACUGGAAACGGUAGCUAAUACCGCAUAACGUCGCAAGACCAAAGAGGGGGACCUUCGGGCCUCUUGCCAUCGGAUGUGCCCAGAUGGGAUUAGCUAGUAGGUGGGGUAACGGCUCACCUAGGCGACGAUCCCUAGCUGGUCUGAGAGGAUGACCAGCCACACUGGAACUGAGACACGGUCCAGACUCCUACGGGAGGCAGCAGUGGGGAAUAUUGCACAAUGGGCGCAAGCCUGAUGCAGCCAUGCCGCGUGUAUGAAGAAGGCCUUCGGGUUGUAAAGUACUUUCAGCGGGGAGGAAGGGAGUAAAGUUAAUACCUUUGCUCAUUGACGUUACCCGCAGAAGAAGCACCGGCUAACUCCGUGCCAGCAGCCGCGGUAAUACGGAGGGUGCAAGCGUUAAUCGGAAUUACUGGGCGUAAAGCGCACGCAGGCGGUUUGUUAAGUCAGAUGUGAAAUCCCCGGGCUCAACCUGGGAACUGCAUCUGAUACUGGCAAGCUUGAGUCUCGUA